UCAUGAGCAUGAAUACUUUUGGCC
RNAcentral lists this non-coding RNA (24 nucleotides) under Arabidopsis thaliana (thale cress). The record is from RNAcentral. Lineage: Eukaryota; Viridiplantae; Streptophyta; Magnoliopsida; Brassicales; Brassicaceae.